CGCGCGCUGCAGGUUUCCAGCCUGUGAUUGGGCCAGCAAUUCCGGGAAUGAAUUGAUGACGUCAGCGUUUGAAUUCCAUGGCUGCCAGACGGCGGGCAAGAGGCAGCGGCGCUUCUGCAGUAUUAAAUAAAACCAGGAGAGAUAAUAAUGGCACUACAGAAGACUCACCCCCUGCCAAGAAAACAUGCAAAUAUCAGAGACAGGAAGUGAAAAAGGAGCCUGUAGCUAGAGGAAAGGCUGAUAAGGGCAGGACCGAAGAUACAAAAGGUGAAUUGAGACCAAAGCAGAAAACCAGGAUUACUUAGGAACAGCAAAGUUAGUUGUGACAGAAUCUGUGAAGUCAGUGCUGCUAAAGGGCAAAGCUCCUGUGGACCCAGAAUGUACAGCCAAGGUGGGAAAGGUGAGAGACU
Molecule: long non-coding RNA, 410 nt
Filed under: Cavia porcellus (domestic guinea pig)
Lineage: Eukaryota; Metazoa; Chordata; Mammalia; Rodentia; Caviidae
Description: lncRNA (ENSCPOG00000035203.1)
Source: RNAcentral